RNAcentral lists this ribosomal RNA (579 nucleotides) under Rhodotorula mucilaginosa. Its description in RNAcentral is "eukaryotic LSU rRNA". It matches the Rfam family "Eukaryotic large subunit ribosomal RNA", at positions 58 to 653 of the family's 3401-position model. The record is from RNAcentral. Lineage: Eukaryota; Fungi; Basidiomycota; Microbotryomycetes; Sporidiobolales; Sporidiobolaceae.
AAAGAAACUAACAAGGAUUCCCCUAGUAGCGGCGAGCGAAGCGGGAAGAGCUCAAAUUUAUAAUCUGGCACCUUCGGUGUCCGAGUUGUAAUCUCUAGAAAUGUUUUCCGCGUUGGACCGCACACAAGUCUGUUGGAAUACAGCGGCAUAGUGGUGAGACCCCCGUAUAUGGUGCGGACGCCCAGCGCUUUGUGAUACAUUUUCGAAGAGUCGAGUUGUUUGGGAAUGCAGCUCAAAUUGGGUGGUAAAUUCCAUCUAAAGCUAAAUAUUGGCGAGAGACCGAUAGCGAACAAGUACCGUGAGGGAAAGAUGAAAAGCACUUUGGAAAGAGAGUUAACCAGUACGUGAAAUUGUUGGAAGGGAAACGCUUGAAGUCAGACUUGCUUGCCGAGCAAUCGGUUUGCAGGCCAGCAUCAGUUUUCCGGGAUGGAUAAUGGUAGAGAGAAGGUAGCAGUUUCGGCUGUGUUAUAGCUCUCUGCUGGAUACAUCUUGGGGGACUGAGGAACGCAGUGUGCCUUUGGCGGGGGUUUCGACCUCUCACACUUAGGAUGCUGGUGGAAUGGCUUUAAACGACCCGUC